RNAcentral lists this ribosomal RNA (243 nucleotides) under uncultured bacterium. RNAcentral describes it as "partial 16S ribosomal RNA". It matches the Rfam family "Bacterial small subunit ribosomal RNA", at positions 15 to 252 of the family's 1533-position model. The record is from RNAcentral.
GAUCAUGGCUCAGGAUGAACGCUAGCGGCAGGCCUAACACAUGCAAGUCGAGGGGCAGCACGGUGUAGCAAUACACUGGUGGCGACCGGCGCACGGGUGCGUAACGCGUAUGCAACCUACCCAGUAACAGGGGGAUAACACUGAGAAAUUGGUACUAAUACCCCAUAACCAUCAGGACCGGCAUCGGUUCUGGUUGAAAACUCCGGUGGUUAUGGAUGGGCAUGCGUUGUAUUAGCUGGUUGG